GAUGAACGCUGGCGGCGUGCCUAAUACAUGCAAGUCGAGCGAACGGACGAGAAGCUUGCUUCUCUGAUGUUAGCGGCGGACGGGUGAGUAACACGUGGAUAACCUACCUAUAAGACUGGGAUAACUUCGGGAAACCGUAGCUAAUACCGGAUAAUAUUUUGAACCGCAUGGUUCAAAAGUGAAAGACGGUCUUGCUGUCACUUAUAGAUGGAUCCGCGCUGCAUUAGCUAGUUGGUAAGGUAACGGCUUACCAAGGCAACGAUGCAUAGCCGACCUGAGAGGGUGAUCGGCCACACUGGAACUGAGACACGGUCCAGACUCCUACGGGAGGCAGCAGUAGGGAAUCUUCCGCAAUGGGCGAAAGCCUGACGGAGCAACGCCGCGUGAGUGAUGAAGGUCUUCGGAUCGUAAAACUCUGUUAUUAGGGAAGAACAUAUGUGUAAGUAUCUGUGCACAUCUUGACGGUACCUAAUCAGAAAGCAACGGCUAACUACGUG
RNAcentral lists this ribosomal RNA (497 nucleotides) under uncultured bacterium. RNAcentral's name for it is "partial 16S ribosomal RNA". It matches the Rfam family "Bacterial small subunit ribosomal RNA", at positions 28 to 507 of the family's 1533-position model. The record is from RNAcentral.